UACAGAGGGUGCGAGCGUUAAUCGGAAUUACUGGGCGUAAAGCGCGCGUAGGCGGCUUUGCAAGUCGGGUGUGAAAUCCCCAGGCUUAACCUGGGAACUGCAUUCGAGACUGCAUUGCUAGAGUAUGGGAGAGGGAAGUGGAAUUUACGGUGUAGCGGUGAAAUGCGUAGAUAUCGUAAGGAAGACCAGUGGCGAAGGCGGGUCUCUGGACAGUUCCUGACGCUGAGGCACGAAGGCCAGGGGAGCAAACGGG
Molecule: ribosomal RNA, 253 nt
Filed under: uncultured bacterium
Lineage: Bacteria
Description: partial 16S ribosomal RNA
Rfam family: Bacterial small subunit ribosomal RNA
Source: RNAcentral